CACCUCGUCGCCGGCCCUCCCCUCCCCUCCUCCCACAUCGCAGCUCCGGAGACCCACCCAUCCCUCUCAGCCCAUCUCUCUGUUGACGCAGCUCCUCGUGCGCCACCUGCGGCGGCUGAUUCAAGCGGCGGCCGGCGAAUCCAGCCAUCACGCGAAGCACAACCCGAGGUCCCACCUCACUGCGGUGCCCUCCCAAGCGGCCAGAUCCGGCGCUCGCGACCACCAAAGCCCACCCGCGAGCUUCCCCCGACGGCUAGGGUUUCAGGAGUAGGCUCCAGUGCCGGUGGCCAUGUCGGCCUCUUCUCGCCGAAGUCUGAUGGUCAAGUUAUUUAGGUCUAAGGUAGUAGCUUGCUAAUGGUGGCUUUCACGUCCAGCUCAAAUACUAGAGGACGUGGACCUGUUGGAGAAAGCACGUACACCUUUGGUUUAGUGAGCAGGUUUCCAAAGAAAGAAAUACUCAAUGCCAUUCAAUGGCUUUCAAUGUGCCAGUCUCUACAUUCAUAGCACUAUCGAGAUGGAGGCCAACAUCAUGGAUGGCUGGAGCUGCGAGUAGAUUUGUCCAAGAUAUGUUAGUGUUUGUAGUCAUGGUUCUGAUUCAAAAGAUAUAUUGAUGCUUAUAUGGGUGUGUGGCAAGUAUACUGCGAUGAUGACGAUGAUGUUCCAGUUAACGAUGAUGACGAUGAUGGGUGUUUUCAGUUGUAGUUAUGAUGGGUGUUUUCAGUUUUACUUAAGUUGUAGGGAUGAUGUUACUGUCAGAUGAUGUUCCUCGGUUAAGUUUUAGUUAAGUUGUAGGCAUGUUGAUGGAUGCUUUCAGUUUAAGUUUCGUUGUUAAGAGAAUAUUUAGAUUAUGCAUCGCAUUUGGAUGCUAUUCCUUAUGUAAUAUCAACAAUUGUAAUCUCACUAUUUUUUCCAAUAUAUGAUUUCUUCCUUU
Long non-coding RNA from Triticum aestivum (bread wheat), 931 nucleotides. RefSeq lists it as uncharacterized. The transcript has 5 exons. NCBI's taxonomy places the organism in Eukaryota, Viridiplantae, Streptophyta, Magnoliopsida, Poales, Poaceae. The record is from RefSeq and is a predicted model, not a curated record.